RNAcentral lists this long non-coding RNA (1954 nucleotides) under Salmo salar (Atlantic salmon). Its description in RNAcentral is "lncRNA (ENSSSAG00000107411.1, ENSSSAG00020084038.1)". Lineage: Eukaryota; Metazoa; Chordata; Actinopteri; Salmoniformes; Salmonidae. The record is from RNAcentral.
CCCGACCUCAACCCAGUUGAGAUGGUUUGGGGGGCUCGAUAUGGGAACCGGAACUGGGGAUAAGUAUUUGUAAGACAGUUCCCUGACCCACUGAGCGGACCGAUAGGGGGCUAAAUUCCACUCGCUCUGUCAAAGAGGAACACAGAAAUCACUUCCCACUGCUUCAGAAGCCAGAGAGGAGAGAGGAAGAGGAAGGAAGGUGACGUUGCUAAGUGACUGGUCUUCAACACUAGAACCACUCUCCUUCCUACUGGCCUCUCAAACUAACACAGCCAAGUGCAUCCAAACAAGCUAAAGAUUUAAUUAUUCACUUUUAUCAACAACAUUUCCUGUUGAACUGUCCAAACACGGGAGGGAGGCUUUAGUUUGCUUUCUCCUCUAAGUCUUUAGAGAACACUGCAUCUUCAUGUAAACCUGCUUUGAUAGAGUAGCGGCUCAAUGAGAGCUUUGUUUUGGGCACCAUUUAAUCCUUUCUGCUCCCUUCUAAUCAAUGGACACUUAGCAAACUUAGGAGAAAAGAGGCAGUUACAAAACUGACCUGGUGUCCAUUUAACACAUCAGAAAGCGGUUGGCUUGAGUUUUGGACAUCAUGCUAUGUCAUUCUCCCCCACUUGGCAUAGAUACUGUACCAGUGUCCAAUUCAGAUGGCAAUGUGACAACGAUCCAAUUACAUAAAAACUAUGAAUAAACACUUAGCUGAUGAAAAUAGAAGCUAGGAGAAUCAGCUGGACAUAGUGGUGAAUGGUGGUCUUCAGGCAGCACUUACAUGAUCAAACAACCAUAGUCCCUCCUGAGAAGAAACAUAUGGGAAUGUUCUGUAAACAAACACAGAACAAGGAAGCGUAAGCAUCAGGAACCUCCCACAAUGCAUUGCUCAACAGGGAUGUGAUAAUAAUGCAUGGAAUACUGUAUAAAGCUAAAGUCACGGUGCUGCAGACAGAGGACAACUUUUGAGAACUCACCUCAUUGUUAUAUAUGAGGUGGCGGUGAAAUAGUGAAAGUAUUAACGCUGUUGCACAGGGCUGAAAGUCUAAACUGAUAUCAAACAAUUAACUUCCUGGACUUCAACUCCAACUUCCUGAUCUGAAUAUUGUUUCCUUGAAGGUCACCGUCUGUUUCAUAAAUAUCUCCCUGAUAACCUCUCUUCAGACUUAAUUAAAGCAGAGGAAAGACUACCUCACGCAGUAAUGGGGAGUUUAUCAUUGACCUUCUGACAGGGCUAUUGGCCUCCAUUGGCCAUGUCAUCGCCCCCAUCUGAAACACCAUUGUACUGGGGUGGACACAAUUUGCCACUACCGCUAAUGACCAUUAGACUCUCUUUCAAAGAAGCAGAGGAAAUGGCUUAUCAGUAGAGUGGACUGAUCAAGUUAUUUGGAUCUCUUCUCAUUAUUGAGGACAUUCAGAGAGUUCGUCUGGUCCUCUCUGCUUUGUAGGACCAGAUACAGGGAAUUAUACUGUAAUAAUGCUGUUAUCGCAUUGUGGGAUGUUUUUCUGAGGUGCAUUGAAUUGGGCCUGAGAUGGAAAUCUGUUUCAUGGUCCUCAUGGUGUGUGUUGUAUAGUGGAGUUAGAAGAUUAAUAAGGGGAAUAAAAGACUGUUGAAAGGCUGUUGAACUGAGAGCUAUGUGUUGUGUUCACUUCCCAACUGCACGGACACUCGAGAUGUUGUUAAUCGGAUUGUCUUCUCUUUGAAAUGUUGAAAAACAUAAAGGGGCAAUGUCAGAUUUCAACUGUCAGUUCAUGACUUGAUACAAUCUGGCCCUGGUAUCAAUAAGUAAUGGGUUGGUUUUCUUAAAUACUGGAAAACUUCACCACAGUAGUUUAUGAUACUAUCAUGGCUCAUGGCUGUAUAUCUUAUAUAAACUGUAGCUUUAAUUAUAUGACUUGUAUAAUAGCUUGAAAGACUGGCCCCUAAUUGCAUGACUAUCCCUGCAAUGAACCGAGGCGCAGUCAAUUC